GCAAGUCGAACGGUAACAUGAGAGUUGCUCUUGAUGACGAGUGGCGCACGGGUGCGUAACGCGUAUGUAAUCUACCCUUUACUGGAGAAUAGCCCUUGGAAACGAGGAAUAAUACUCCAUAGUAUAACAAUUUCGCAUGUUAUUGUUAUUAAAGCUUCGGCGGUAAAGGAUGGGCAUGCGGCCCAUUAGUUAGUUGGUAAGGUAACGGCUUACCAAGACUCCGAUGGGUAGGGGGCCUGAGAGGGUUAUC
Molecule: ribosomal RNA, 250 nt
Filed under: uncultured bacterium
Lineage: Bacteria
Description: partial 16S ribosomal RNA
Rfam family: Bacterial small subunit ribosomal RNA
Source: RNAcentral